AGAAAAUGUUGUCUUUCAAGUCUUGAAAAUCAAAAUUUGUGAUAUAUAGUUGAUCUAAUGUGAUCAAAUAAAAAGUUGACCUAAUUAGAGUAAUUAAAAACUUUGGGGUACAUAUUGAUUAUGAGAGUUCCCAUUUUAAAAUUUAAAAAAGGCUGACUCUGGGAAUCAUUUCUGGUUCAUCAAGAGAAAUCACACCAAUCUUCUGCCUCCAGAUACAUCAGUAAUUAAUUAUCACUUUUGCUCCCAAAGUAACUUGACCAUGACUAUAAAAUAUUGUGUAAUGAACCAUAUGCAUCAGUAAGAUAAACAGAUCUACAUCUCCAUUUUGCUAACAGUAAGAGCAGCCAGCUCUACCACUCCAAAUUUGCAGACAUAAACCAACACCUUGCUGUCUACAGUGUCUCUCAUCCAGGUGAUCGGGAUGAUGGUCUCAUAGUGCGGUGAUGAAAACAUUUAUCUGUGUUACUUGCAAUUCACUCUAUUUCCUGCUACUCUUUUUUGAAGGAACAACUAGUCCCCUUUUCUCCAGGCUUUUAAAUCGAUCUCUUGCAAGGGUGCAACAUCCCUUUAAUUUACGCAGGGAACCAGUAAUCUCUUCAGACAGUAAAACCUGAGCAGGAGCAGGCACGAAUUUGCGCUUUCCCAAGCGUGGUGGACAAGAUUUUAGUUUUUCUUUUAUAGCAGUGACACGACGUAGAUGUCGUUUCUGUUUUUCUCCUUCCUCUCUCUCUAUUUCUUGAAUAAUAUCCGGUAAGCUAUCAAUCUCUUUGGAGAGUUGUGCUGCUUUUGUUGCUUCAGCUUCUGCUUUCAACUGUUCUUUGCGUCUAGCCCGUCGAUUCUUCUCAACUUGAGUCAGCAUUUUGGGCUUUUGCGGCCUUUUAUCCAAAUCUGUUUUUCCGUCUUCCACUAGAUUUUCAUUCUCCGUGUCACUCCCACUGUCCGCUUCAAGGAAAUACAUAUCUUCUUCAUUGACUACCUCUCCAGGAACAACCAAUGGAAUAGGCUCCGGACCCAAUUCAUUUCUAUAAAUUUUCUGCAUUUCAUCUGCAACAGCACAAGCUAAUGCAUCCUGAUGACUUUCGGAUGGAGGAUUGAAUGAGCAUCCUGGAGGCUCAACU
Molecule: unclassified non-coding RNA, 1118 nt
Filed under: Hevea brasiliensis (rubber tree)
Lineage: Eukaryota; Viridiplantae; Streptophyta; Magnoliopsida; Malpighiales; Euphorbiaceae
Source: RNAcentral